This 193-nucleotide small nuclear RNA is filed under the name Rhodnius prolixus. RNAcentral's name for it is "U2 spliceosomal RNA". It matches the Rfam family "U2 spliceosomal RNA". Rfam says of the family: U2 is a small nuclear RNA (snRNA) component of the spliceosome (involved in pre-mRNA splicing). Lineage: Eukaryota; Metazoa; Arthropoda; Insecta; Hemiptera; Reduviidae. The record is from Rfam by way of RNAcentral.
GUAUCUUCUCGGCCUUUUGGCUAAGAUCAAAGUGUAGUAUCUGUUCUUAUCAGCUUAAUCUCUGGGUACGGCCUCCAAUAACGGCCAAUAACGUAGCUUGGUUAUUAUCUAGGUAGUUCUGGACUACCUGAACUAUUCAAUUUCAUAGCAGUAAAACUUUACAUAACAAACUUCUCCGAACGUUGGACUUAUC